GACGAACGCUGGCGGCGUGCUUAACACAUGCAAGUCGAACGGGCCUUGUCCCCUUUUUUUUUGGGGGUGGGGUUAGUGGCGAACGGGUGAGUAACACGUGAGUAACCUGCCCCUCACUUCUGGAUAACCGCUUGAAAGGGUGGCUAAUACGGGGUGUUCUGGCCUGCUCGCAUGGGUGGGUUUGGAAAGAUUCGACCGGUUUUGGUUGUUUUGGUGGGGGAUGGGCUCGCGGCCUAUCAGCUUGUUGGUGGGGUGAUGGCCUGCCAAGGCUUUGACGGGUAGCCGGCCUGAGAGGGUGGGCGGUCACACUGGGACUGAGACACGGCCCAGACUCCGACGGGAGGCAGCAGUGGGGAAUAGUGCACAAUGGGCGCAAGACUGAUGCAGCGACGCCGCGUGAGGGAUGGAGGCCUGCGGGUUGUGAACCUCUUUCGCCAGUGAAGAAGGUCCUGCUCUUUGUGGUGGGGUUGACGGUAGCUGGGUUAAUGAAGCGCCGGCUAACUACGUG
Molecule: ribosomal RNA, 508 nt
Filed under: uncultured bacterium
Lineage: Bacteria
Description: partial 16S ribosomal RNA
Rfam family: Bacterial small subunit ribosomal RNA
Source: RNAcentral